This is a long non-coding RNA of Mauremys reevesii (Reeves's turtle), 911 nucleotides long. RefSeq lists it as uncharacterized. The record is from RefSeq and is a predicted model, not a curated record. Lineage: Eukaryota; Metazoa; Chordata; Testudines; Geoemydidae. The transcript is spliced from 4 exons.
GGAUGGUGCAGAGUCUCCUGGGAGCUUCUGGGUUCCCCUUCUCCCACUGAAAUGAAGAGUCCUUUAUGCUGUGAGAGACUUGACAGCUUCUUAUCUUAUGUGGAGUUCAGAGACCUGUAAAACCCUAUUGCCUGGCAUCCUUUUCAGCAGAUCACAAGGCAGGAAGACAGAGUCCCAGCCUCUAAGAGUUUACAGUCUAAAAAGGCAAAAAAAGAUGCAACUUGGGGAGAAGGAAUACAGCACACAGGCAAAAGGAUUAGGGCUCUACAUUCUUUCCAAACUCCAUUAAAUGAUGAAUUCAUGAAAAUGCAGAAGACAAAAUGAAUUCUGUGAAAAACAAUUUCUGUCUCUAGAGUGCUAGUAAAAGCAAAGGAAAUGUGUGACAACAAGAUUAUACCCCAUCUUAUACCAGAGGUCAUGUGUAACUUGUUGAGACGUACUGGCAAAUUAUAAAUAUAAAAACUUCAGGUUUGUGGUAUGAGUCAGUUUGCAUUUAUCUUGUAUUGUCUGUUCAUCCACCAACAGAAUGAAUAAUAACCACUUUGAGCCAAGUUCAUUCCUGGUGCAGUACUUUUUGGUUUCAGAGGAGUUAAACCAGGAACGAAUUUGGUCCACAAUACGGAAUUAAUUAUAUAUCCUCUGGUUGAUGAAGCAAACAUUAUUUUUAUUACAUUUAUGGAAAAAAAAUAACAAAGCCGUUAGUAAUUUCAAUUAAUUGGAAACAAUUACCUAUAGGAAUGGAAACAUUUUAUCCUGAAGUCUCGUUUGAUCAGCUCACAAGAGCGAAUUACUGCUGUAUUAUUUCUCUCACACAUAACUCUCUGAAAAUGACACAUUUUUAAUCAUAUAGAAACAAAUAUUUAUCCAUAUUGCUUGUCACUCAGUGGUCCUUAGGAGAAAAUCUUAUUAGA